Herpailurus yagouaroundi (jaguarundi) is the source of this 114-nucleotide long non-coding RNA. RefSeq lists it as uncharacterized. The record is from RefSeq and is a predicted model, not a curated record. The transcript is spliced from 3 exons. NCBI's taxonomy places the organism in Eukaryota, Metazoa, Chordata, Mammalia, Carnivora, Felidae.
ACGACGCUCUUCCCAUCCCCGUCUUUCAGCUGCCCGUCCAUGCUGACGUUCAGUCCGAUUUCAUUCAGUUUGCCCUCUGUCCUCUGCCACUCAAAUCCAGCUUGGUUGAUUUCU